This 617-nucleotide ribosomal RNA is filed under the name uncultured bacterium. Its description in RNAcentral is "bacterial SSU rRNA". It matches the Rfam family "Bacterial small subunit ribosomal RNA", at positions 62 to 657 of the family's 1533-position model. The record is from RNAcentral.
UCGAGCGAGAAAGCCCGCAAGGGUGAGUAAAGCGGCGCACGGGUGAGUAACACGUGGGUAAUCUGCCCUGGAGUCCGGAAUAACUCGCCGAAAGGCGUGCUAAUGCCGGAUGAGACCACGGGGGCCUCGGCCCUCGCGAGAAAAGGUGGCCUCUGUACACAAGCUAUCGCUCCAGGAUGAGCCCGCGUCCCAUCAGCUCGUUGGCGGGGUAACGGCCCACCAAGGCUACGACGGGUAGCUGGUCUGAGAGGACGAUCAGCCACACUGGAACUGAGACACGGUCCAGACUCCUACGGGAGGCAGCAGUGGGGAAUCUUGCGCAAUGGGCGAAAGCCUGACGCAGCAACGCCGCGUGUGUGAUGAAGGUCUUCGGAUCGUAAAGCACUGUCGCGAGGGACGAAUAAGGCUUCGGCCAACACCCGGAGACGAUGACGGUACCUCGAGAGGAAGCACCGGCUAACUCUGUGCCAGCAGCCGCGGUAAUACAGAGGGUGCUAGCGUUGUUCGGAAUUAUUGGGCGUAAAGCGCGUGUAGGCGGUCCAUCAAGUUGGGUGUGAAAGCCCUCGGCUUAACCGAGGAAGUGCGCCCAAAACUAGUGGACUCGAGUACCGGAGAGG